This 459-nucleotide ribosomal RNA is filed under the name uncultured bacterium. RNAcentral's name for it is "partial 16S ribosomal RNA". It matches the Rfam family "Bacterial small subunit ribosomal RNA", at positions 338 to 795 of the family's 1533-position model. The record is from RNAcentral.
CCUACGGGUGACAGCAGUGAGGAAUAUUGGUCAAUGGGCGUAAGCCUGAACCAGCCAAGUCGCGUGAGGGAUGAAGGUUCUAUGGAUCGUAAACCUCUUUUGUCAGGGAACAAAGGCGGGGACGUGUCCCCGGAUGAGUGUACCUGAAGAAAAAGCAUCGGCUAACUCCGUGCCAGCAGCCGCGGUAAUACGGAGGAUGCGAGCGUUAUCCGGAUUUAUUGGGUUGAAAGGGUGCGCAGGCGGUCUGUUAAGUCAGCGGUCAAAGCCCGGGGCUCACCCCCGGCCCGCCGUUGAAACUGGCAGUCUCGAGUUGGAGAGAAGUAUGCGGAAUGCGCGGUGUAGCGGUGAAAUGCAUAGAUAUCGCGCAGAACUCCGAUUGCGAAGGCAGCAUGCCGGCUCCACACUGACGCUGAGGCACGAAAGCGUGGGUAUCGAACAGGAUUAGAUACCCGUGUAGUC